AAAUCGUCCCCUAAGUUUUGCAACCGUAGCAGUUUUGGCCCCCAAGGCCAAAAUAAAUAAAUAAAUAAAUAAAUAGCAUGUGGCACCCCUAAGAGGCACCUCACUUAGGGUGCCACGUCAGCGUAGACCGAAUCAAAAUUGGCCUUGGGUGCCAAAACUGCAACAGGUGCUAAACUUAUGGGGGACGAUUU
This 191-nucleotide microRNA precursor is filed under the name Medicago truncatula (barrel medic). RNAcentral describes it as "MIR2619 microRNA precursor family". It matches the Rfam family "MIR2619 microRNA precursor family". The record is from Rfam by way of RNAcentral. Lineage: Eukaryota; Viridiplantae; Streptophyta; Magnoliopsida; Fabales; Fabaceae.